RNAcentral lists this long non-coding RNA (202 nucleotides) under Nicotiana benthamiana. RNAcentral describes it as "long non-coding RNA (NBEN_LNC008684)". Lineage: Eukaryota; Viridiplantae; Streptophyta; Magnoliopsida; Solanales; Solanaceae. The record is from RNAcentral.
CCGUCGCCAAAAAAUAACUUCUUAUGCUUAUCACUCAAGAAAAAGAAGCUUGAAGAUUUAAUGAACAAUAACAGUUGAUGCCAAUUGUUAACAGUGAAGAAGAACAAAUUUUUUCUUUAAUUUCUAAAUUUCAAACUCUCAAUAAUUCUUAAGAUUCAAAAGUCUUUUUUCUUUCUUCCCUCUAGUACUGAAAAUAUUUCUC